GAAUAUUGGACAAUGGGCGCAAGCCUGAUCCAGCCAUGCCGCGUGGAUGAUGAAGGCCCUAGGGUUGUAAAGUCCUUUCGGCGGGGAAGAUAAUGACGGUACCCGCAGAAGAAGCCCCGGCUAACUUCGUGCCAGCAGCCGCGGUAAUACGAAGGGGGCUAGCGUUGCUCGGAAUCACUGGGCGUAAAGCGCACGUAGGCGGACUCUUAAGUCGGUGGUGAAAUCCUGGAGCUCAACUCCAGAACUACCUUCGAUACUGAGAGUCUCGAGUCCGGGAGAGGUGAGUGGAACUGCGGGUGUAGAGGUGAAAUUCGUAGAUAUUCGCAAGAACACCAGUGGCGAAGGCGGCUCACUGGCCCGGUACUGACGCUGAGGUGCGAAAGCGUGGGGAGCAAACAGG
Molecule: ribosomal RNA, 400 nt
Filed under: uncultured bacterium
Lineage: Bacteria
Description: bacterial SSU rRNA
Rfam family: Bacterial small subunit ribosomal RNA
Source: RNAcentral